GAUGAACGCUGGCGGCGUGCCUAAUACAUGCGAGUCGAGCGAACGGACGAGAAGCUUGCUUCUCUGAUGUUAGCGGCGGACGGGUGAGUAGCACGUGGAUAACCUACCUAUAAGACUGGGAUAACUUCGGGAAACCGGAGCUAAUACCGGAUGAUAUUUUGAACCGCAUGGUUCAAAAGUGAAAGACGGUCUUGCUGUCACUUAUAGAUGGAUCCGCGCUGCAUUAGCUAGUUGGUAAGGUAACGGCUUACCAAGGCAACGAUGCAUAGCCGACCUGAGAGGGUGAUCGGCCACACUGGAACUGAGACACGGUCCAGACUCCUACGGGAGGCAGCAGUAGGGAAUCUUCCGCAAUGGGCGAAAGCCUGACGGAGCAACGCCGCGUGAGUGAUGAAGGUCUUCGGAUCGUAAAACUCUGUUAUUAGGGAAGAACAUAUGUGUAAGUAACUGUGCACAUCUUGACGGUACCUAAUCAGAAAGCCACGGCUAACUACGUG
Molecule: ribosomal RNA, 497 nt
Filed under: uncultured bacterium
Lineage: Bacteria
Description: partial 16S ribosomal RNA
Rfam family: Bacterial small subunit ribosomal RNA
Source: RNAcentral